UACGGGGGGGGCAAGCGUUGUUCGGAAUUACUGGGCGUAAAGGGCUCGUAGGUGGCCAACUAAGUCAGACGUGAAAUCCCUCAGCUUAACUGGGGAACUGCGUCUGAUACUGGAUGGCUUGAGUUUGGGAGAGGGAUGCGGAAUUCCAGGUGUAGCGGUGAAAUGCGUAGAGAUCCGGAGGAACACCGACGGCGCAGGCAGCGUCCUGGCCGCUUGCUGACACUGAGGCACGAAAGCUGGGGGAGCAAACAGG
RNAcentral lists this ribosomal RNA (253 nucleotides) under uncultured bacterium. RNAcentral's name for it is "partial 16S ribosomal RNA". It matches the Rfam family "Bacterial small subunit ribosomal RNA", at positions 524 to 776 of the family's 1533-position model. The record is from RNAcentral.